This 497-nucleotide ribosomal RNA is filed under the name uncultured bacterium. Its description in RNAcentral is "partial 16S ribosomal RNA". It matches the Rfam family "Bacterial small subunit ribosomal RNA", at positions 28 to 507 of the family's 1533-position model. The record is from RNAcentral.
GAUGAACGCUGGCGGCGUGCCUAAUACAUGCAAGUCGAGCGAACGGACGAGAAGCUUGCUCCUCUGAUGUUAGCGGCGGACGGGUGAGUAACACGUGGAUAACCCACCUAUAAGACUGGGAUAACUCCGGGAAACCGGAGCUAAUACCGGAUAAUAUUUUGAACCGCAUGGUGCAAAAGUGAAAUACGGUCUUGCUGUCACUCAUUGAUGGAUCCGCGCUGGAUUAGCUAGUUGGUAUGGUAACGGCUUACCAAGGCGACGAUGAGUAGCUGCGCUGAGAGGAUGAUCGGCCACACUGGGACUGAGACACGGUCCAGACUCCUACGGGAGGCAGCAGUGGGGAAUCUUGGACAAUGGGCGAAAGCCUGACCGAGCAACGCCGCGUGAGUGAUGAAGGUCUUCGGGUCGUAAAGCUCUGUUAUUAGGGAAGAACAUAUGUAUAAGUAACUGUGCGGGUCAUGACGGUACCGGAUGAGAAAGCCACGGCUAACUACGUG